UUGGCGUUGCGCAACUGGCGAUAAGACGGCACGGCCGAUCAUCCGGAACAGCUCGUCGAGGUGGACAACCACCGGGAAGCGCAACGUUCGCCGCCGUUCGCCUGGGCCCCCACG
Molecule: non-coding RNA, 114 nt
Filed under: Thiomonas delicata
Lineage: Bacteria; Pseudomonadati; Pseudomonadota; Betaproteobacteria; Burkholderiales
Description: ZTP sequence
Rfam family: ZMP/ZTP riboswitch aptamer (pfl RNA motif)
About the family: Previously known as pfl RNA. ZMP is also known as AICAR.
Source: Rfam by way of RNAcentral